CCUACGGGAUGCACCAGUGGGGAAUAUUGCACAAUGGGCGCAAGCCUGAUGCAGCCAUGCCGCGUGUGUGAAGAAGGCCUUCGGGUUGUAAAGCACUUCCAGCGGGGAGGAAGGCGGUGAGGUUAAUAACCUCAUCGAUUGACGCUACCCGCAGAAGAAGCACCGGCUAACUCCGUGCCAGCAGCCGCGGUAAUACGGAGGGUGCAAGCGUUAAUCGGAAUUACUGGGCGUAAAGCGCACGCAGGCGGUCUGUCAAGUCGGAUGUGAAAUCCCCGGGCUCACCCUGGGAACUGCAUUCGAAACUGGCAGGCUAGAGUCUUGUAGAGGGGGGUAGAAUUCCAGGUGUAGCGGUGAAAUGCGUAGAGAUCUGGAGGAAUACCGGUGGCGAAGGCGGCCCCCUGGACAAAGACUGACGCACAGGUGCGAAAGCGUGGGGAGCAAACAGGAUUAGAUACCCGGGUAGUC
This 465-nucleotide ribosomal RNA is filed under the name uncultured bacterium. Its description in RNAcentral is "bacterial SSU rRNA". It matches the Rfam family "Bacterial small subunit ribosomal RNA", at positions 338 to 795 of the family's 1533-position model. The record is from RNAcentral.